AUGGGGUCAUGGAUGCUGGUGUGGAUUCUGUGCGCCACAGUCACUCUGAUGCCUGUGUGUCUUCACGGAGCAAUAUCGGUCCACUUCAAGACCGGACGGCCUCUCUAUGUGGCUCUCGGCGAAACUCUUGUUUUGGAAGCCGUAUUCAAGAAGGACUCAGGUGACAAAAUAGACAUGGUGUCGUGGGACCGCGAGGGAGCAAAGGACAAUGUCAGACUGUCACAUGGAAACAGAAUAUCUUUGGAGAAUGGAGAUACACUUCUGCGGGUCACUGAUGUUGCAGAAGAGGACAUUGCGACCUACAAAGUCACCGUUACAGACAGUAACGGAUACCAGCAACAAGACUCCAUAGAUGUUAAAAACAUAGUUUCAGGGGAACCUCCAAAGGCGUCAAUUACACGUGUGCUGGAGUGUGUCGUGGAUAAUCAUGGCUUGGCCCAGUGGGACAGCCCUCAGUUUUCAUGGCUGGUUGAUGGUGUUAAAGUAACCAAUCAAUCCGCACUGUUAACAAACGGCAGUAGACUAGAUAUCUCUGGGGUUAAGGGUGUUAACUACACCUGCAUCAUCAAGAGCAGCCUGGGGACGCUCACAACGCAUUUUGAAAUGCCAACAGGUAUUGUCAAAUAUCAAUAAUGUGUGUCUUUUGACUUGUAAAUGUUCACCACACAAUGCAAUUACAUCUAACAACAGAUUUGGAGAAAUGUAGCAUUGCAUCACUUGCUCUGCAGUGAAUGGGUGCCGUCAGAAUGAGAGUCUGAUAAAAACAUUACAAUAAUCCACAAGUAAUCCACAGAACUCCAGUCCAUCAGUCACCAUCUGGAGAAGACAGAGGCUUAAACAUAUCUAUCAUUCAUUUUAAACCAUUGCUUCUGGAGACAAUAAUCCAUAAUAAUGCUUCCUCCAGUGAAAAAGUCCAUCUCUUGUUGUCUCUCACAUCAAAAUCCAACUGCAUGUUGGUUUAAAGCUGUUUUCUCAUGUAAAUAGUGCUUGAUCUGUGCAGAUUUCUCUCCUGAUUCAGACCUGACCCACUUGUUUCACUGGAGAAAGCAAUGUUAUGGAUAGAGGACUUGGAUUUUAGCUGAAAGUGACAGUUUGAAAUUACAGGUGCAUCUCAAUAAAUUAGAAUGUGGUGAAAAGUUCAUUUAUUUCAGUAAUUCAACUCAUUGUGAAACUUGUGUAUUAAAUUCAUUCAAUGCACACAGACUGAAGUAGUUUAAGUCUUUAAUUGUGAUGAUUUUGGCUCACAUUUAACAAAAACCCACCAAUUCGCUAUCUCAACUAAUUAGAAUAUGGUGACAUGCCAAUCAGGCAAUCAGCUCAAAACACCUGCAAAGGUUUCCUGAGACUUCAAAAUGGUCUCUCAGUUUGGUUCACUCGGCUAUACAAUCAUGGGGAAGACUGAUCUGACAGAUGUCCAGAAGACAAUCAUUUAUUCCCUUCACAAGGAGAGUAAGACACAAACAUUCACUGCCAAAGAAGCUGCUGUUCCCAGAGUGCUGUAUCUAAGCAUGUUAACAGAGAGUUGAGUGGAAGGAAGUUGAGUGUUGCCCAGUGGACCAAAGUCCUCUUUUCAGAUGAGAGCAAGUUUUGUAUUUCAUUUGGAAACCAAGGUCCUAGAUUCUGGAGCAAGGGUGGAGAAGCUCAGCCCAAGUUUCUUGAAGUCCAGUGUUAAGUUUCCACAGUCUGUGAUGAUUUGGGGCAUAAUGUCAUCUGCUGAACAACUUUUUGUAGAUGCUAAUUAAAUUUUCCAGCAGGAUUUGGCUCCUGCCCACUAGAGCUGAAGAUCUUUGCCCGAACCCGACGGGUUUCUAUCAUCUUACGCGGGCUCGGGCCGGGCUCGGGCUUGCGCUCCGGUUUGCGAGGUAAACGAGUGGUCAUGUGAUGUGUUUCGAUUAGCGCGAGAAAGAUGCGAAAAUGAAUGCUGAGCAGGUGUAACGGAGGCUUGCCUUUGGUGAUUACGUUUUGGUUGCACCAGCAACUAAAGCAAACUCUGAGGUGUGGAAAAGUUUUGACCGUGUUUAUAAUGAGAAUAAUGAGUGAAUAAUGACGUACCAUCAGUGAGCGCAGGAACGCGCUGAAGAUAUCUACAGUGGAUUCAAUCAUUUUCCUCCACGAAAACAUGUAGACCUAGCCUAAUCUCUGUGUGUAAAGGUUUUUCAAAUGAUAACUAUUCAUUGAGUCUUAAAUGCAUAAUGUUGACAGAGUAUUUACGCUAAUGUUGGCAUUAUUAUUUUAUUAAAUAAAGCAAAUCCGGCGGAGCCUUUAUCUUAAUUUCGUUAUUGCCAAAUACCCAUCUUAAUUUAAAAUUUAUCUUAAUUUUUUUUUUUUUUUCAAUGACUCGUUUUUAUUGGUGCGUUGGUCUAUUUAUAGGUUAAAUGAGCCUAUGUCUAGAAUGCUGAGAUGUUACGAUGUGACACAGGACUUAUUUUAUUUCUUUAUUCCAACUUCCAAGUGGUCUAGUCUACGUUAGUUAUGAGUAAAUUAUGUUAAAACAUGAAUAAAUUACUCAUUGUUGGCAAAAGGCAAAAGAGUUGUGUGCGUGCGCACAUUUGAAUAAUGUCGGGCUGUAAACGGGUUCGGGCUUUAAAAAAGCUGUCAAUCAAAAUCUACUUGUCGGGCUCGGGCCGAAACCUGUCGGGCUCGGGUCCUGUGGGGCCUAACUUUUAAGGCCCGAUUACAGCUCUACUGCCCACACUGCCAAAAACACCAAAAGUUGGUUAAAUGACCAUGGUGUUGGUGUGCUUGACUGGUCAGCAAACUCACCAGACCUGAACCCCAGAGAGAAUCAAUGAGCUAUUGUCGAGAGACGAAGAUGAGAAACAAGAGACCAGACAAUGCAGAUGAGCUGAAGACCACUGUCAAAGAAACCUGUGCUUCAGACCACCUCAGCAGAGCCACAAACUGAUCACCUCCAUGCCACGCUGAACUGAGGCAUUAAUUAAAGCAAAAAGAGCCCCUACCAAGCAUUGAGUACAUGUACAGUAAAUGAACAUACUUUCCAGACGGCAAACAAUUCACAAAAAAUUUUUUUUAUUGGUCUUAUGAAGUAUUCUAAUUUGUUGAGGUGUAAGCCAAAAUCAUCACAAUUAAAAGACUUCUUAAGUGUGUGUGUGCAUUGAAUGCAUUUAAUACAUGAUUUUAACAAUUUGAGUUGAAUUACUGAAAUAAAUUAACUUUUCCACGACAUUCUAAUUUAUUGAGAUGCACCUGUAAAUAAGUCUGUGCCAAAUUUGGGGUCUCUUUCUCAAACCCUCUAGUGCCACCAUGAAUGAUGAACUUGAAUGAUGUUGUCCCUUUGAUUCAUUCAGGUCAUGUACAUUAACACUUUUAGUUUUUAUACCAUUUUGAAUUUUGUAGAAGAUUUUUGUCUUGUGUCUCAUCAGAAUCUGAGCGCUGUUGUGCUGGACUGAUUGCAGUUGGAGUGAUAACAGGAAUAGCACUUGUGGCCGGGUGAGACCUCUUCUCUCUUCUACGGGCUCAUUAUAUGUCUGUUUAAGGGCUGGGUGAUAGAUAUUGAAUAUUUACAAUAGAUAUGUGAAUAUUACCAUCAUUUAAAUGCACUUUUUAUUUGGCUGUGUGUGAGCACGUACUUAAUUAGUCUCAGGAGGACUCUAGCCUUCAGCACAAAUUGUAUAAGAGUGAAAUAUUUGAAAACGCUGCUUUAGCUUUUCUUUUCUGUUAUCAUGUGAUUUAAAAAAAAUAUAUAUAUUAACAUUUGGAUUUGCAUGAAUGAAAAUAAUGACAUCAAAUAAUACUGAAAGGCUGAAAAAUAAAUUCAGAUAAUAAUGUUUUUAGCUACAUCUCCCAGCCCUUAGUCUGUUUACUAAAAGUCCUUUUCACAUUAUCUUUUUAUUUCAGAUCAAUUUUCCUGAUGAAGUACAAAAAAACCUCUAAACAUGAAGCUGUCUCUACUAAGUCAACAUAGAAGAUUGUAUUAUAUUUAUUUACAUGUUAAUGUACCUGUAAACAUUUUAAAUAGAUCAUUUUGUUUUGUUCUAUUGGAUAAAGUUAUUGCUAUAUGUCUUGUUCAUUGAUUCGUUCUGUCCAUUUGACCAAACUAUAAAAAUGUAAGCUGUUAAAAUGGAUCUUUAAGAUAUAAGCUGCAAAAAAUGGAUAUCAUUGCUAUUUAUUUUCUCUCUACCUCAUUUGUUCUAUUUAGUUUGCUGUUUGAGUUUCUGCAGUUUUUUUGCAUUUGCAUUCAAGUUUGUUCAGAGAAUUAAAGUGUCCAAACUGAUCUUGAGCGUGGAGCAUGAUUUAGAGAAGAUCUGUUUGUUUGUUUGUUUGUUUGUUUGUUGUGCUCGGCGUUCAGACCAGUCCUGUAGAGACACAAACAACAUCGCUCUAGUGUUUUUCAGGAUAAAUGCAUCUCUUUCAGGAACUUAUGAGUGGUGAGUUAUGAAAAGCAUUCAGGGAUCUCACUCAUAAAGUUACUGUGUCUGAACUUUGGUCACGUUUAAUGCAUGAGCACGACUACAGCGAUUCAUUAGAGGACUGUCCUGCUUCUGUACAUCUGCUGUGAGUUCUUGAUAUGUUUAUGUAGAUUGUUUUUCAUGGCUCUCUGGAAUUCUUUAUUCUGAUUGGCCAGCUGCAGAUUGUGUUUUUAGUUUUAUUUCUUAUUUUAAUAAAUGCUGCUCUGUUUAACAUUCUAUUCAUCGAUGAAUCCAGAAAAAUGUACAACGGUUUACACAUUAAUAAAAAAAUUAUCAUAAUAAGAAAUAUUUGUUGAGCAGCAAAUGACAAUUUGAUAUUAUGGUUUUACGGAUAUUUAAAUUACUUUUUAAGAUUUAAAUUUUUUGGCUACCAUAAACAAUCUACAGAAG
Long non-coding RNA from Carassius auratus (goldfish), 4820 nucleotides. Lineage: Eukaryota; Metazoa; Chordata; Actinopteri; Cypriniformes; Cyprinidae. The record is from Ensembl.